GCGUGUGUGAAGAAGGCCUGCGGGUUGUAAAGCACUUUCAGUAGGGAGGAAAUGGCAGAAGGUUAAUAACCUUUUGUCUUGACGUUACCUACAGAAGAAGCACCGGCUAACUCUGUGCCAGCAGCCGCGGUAAUACAGAGGGUGCAAGCGUUAAUCGGAAUUACUGGGCGUAAAGCGCGCGUAGGCGGUUUGGUCAGUCGGAUGUGAAAGCCCCGGGCUUAACCUGGGAAUUGCAUUCGAUACUGCCAGACUAGAGUGUAGUAGAGGGAAGCGGAAUUCCGGGUGUAGCGGUGAAAUGCGU
RNAcentral lists this ribosomal RNA (301 nucleotides) under uncultured bacterium. RNAcentral describes it as "bacterial SSU rRNA". It matches the Rfam family "Bacterial small subunit ribosomal RNA", at positions 399 to 691 of the family's 1533-position model. The record is from RNAcentral.